This 470-nucleotide ribosomal RNA is filed under the name uncultured bacterium. RNAcentral describes it as "SSU rRNA". It matches the Rfam family "Bacterial small subunit ribosomal RNA", at positions 26 to 518 of the family's 1533-position model. The record is from RNAcentral.
AGGACAAACGCUGGCGGCGUGCCUAAGACAUGCAAGUCGGACGGGGGGCUUUGGCCCCUAGUGGCGGACGGGUGAGGAACGCGUGGAGAACCUGCCCCGGGGUGGGGGAUACCCGCCAGAAAUGGCGGUUAAGACCGCAUACGAAUGUCUCGUGCAGGCGAGAUCGGGAAAGCAGUGAUGUGCCCUGGGAGGGCUCCGCGUCGGAUUAGCUAGUUGGUGGGGUAACGGCCUACCAAGGCGACGAUCCGUAGCUGGUCUGAGAGGACGGCCAGCCACACUGGGACUGAGACACGGCCCAGACUCCUACGGGAGGCAGCAGUUAGGAAUUUUGACAAUGGGCGCAAGCCUGAUCGAGUGACGCCGCGUGCGGGAUGACGCCUUUCGGGGUGUAAAACCGCUUUUCCCAGGGACGAGGAGUGGACGGGUACCUGGGGAACGAAGUCUCGGCUAACUACGCGCCAGCGGACCGC